ACGAAGACUCUUAUAUGAUGAGAUAUUUUCUCAAGAACCGGAUUUUUUUAGGAAGAGCCGGAAGAGGUAUAACGGGAAUCCCCCGUUGUCGAUGCUUAGAAUGGUUCUUCUGAAAGAGUUUUUGAU
Molecule: small nucleolar RNA, 126 nt
Organism: Penicillium antarcticum
Lineage: Eukaryota; Fungi; Ascomycota; Eurotiomycetes; Eurotiales; Aspergillaceae
Rfam family: A. fumigatus snoRNA Afu_198
Source: Rfam